Frankliniella occidentalis (western flower thrips) is the source of this 544-nucleotide long non-coding RNA. RefSeq lists it as uncharacterized. Lineage: Eukaryota; Metazoa; Arthropoda; Insecta; Thysanoptera; Thripidae. The record is from RefSeq and is a predicted model, not a curated record. The transcript is spliced from 3 exons.
UCAUGACUAACAUAAGAUUGUCUUUUAACAAUUUAGUAUUAUCUUUGGCAAAAAUGUUCUUAUAAAUUUGUUGUUUUCUUUUUUUCUGUUCUAGGAUCUGUGUCUCACUGUUCAUAUACUCACAGUUUGAUAUAACAGAAGAGUGUCCCAUAAUUGUCUUGAAGCCCACUUUGAGUAGACAUCCCUACUCUUUGAAGUACACUUUUCUUAACUAGGUAGCAGCUGCUUUAUUUAUAAUGUGGUUUAACUCCUUGCCACAACUAAUUUUGAAGUCAGCUCCCACACAUACUUAUCUCAGCCCUGCACUAUUGCGUCCAGAAGAACUUUCUGUUUCAUGAUCCACCCUGCCUUAUUGUUGCUCCUGCAGUGAGCAAAGGGGUAAUCCAUGGAAAGAAUUGUGAGGUAAAGCAGGCUCCGUCCAAGUUUGUCUGUGAUCAUGAUCCACAAUGUCUUUCAUGAUACUGGCUUCUAAGUAAAACUCACCUGACUUCUUGGCUUAUCUGUGGUUGCCCAGUGGAAGUUGAGGAUCUACAAUAGACGGGUA